GGUUAAGCGACUAAGCGUACACGGUGGAUGCCCUGGCAGUCAGAGGCGAUGAAGGACGUGCUAAUCUGCGAAAAGCGUCGGUAAGGUGAUAUGAACCGUUACAGCCGGCGAUGUCCGAAUGGGGAAACCCAGUGCAAUUCGUUGCACUAUCGUUAACUGAAUACAUAGGUUAACGAGGCGAACCGGGGGAACUGAAACAUCUAAGUACCCCGAGGAAAAGAAAUCAACCGAGAUUCCCCCAGUAGCGGCGAGCGAACGGGGAGCAGCCCAGAGUCUGAAUCAGCUUGUGUGUUAGUGGAACGGUCUGGAAAGUCCGACGGUACAGGGUGAUAGUCCCGUACACCAAAAUGCACAGGCUGUGAACUCGAAGAGUAGGGCGGGACACGUGGUAUCCUGUCUGAAUAUGGGGGGACCAUCCUCCAAGGCUAAAUACUCCUGACUGACCGAUAGUGAACCAGUACCGUGAGGGAAAGGCGAAAAGAACCCCGGCGAGGGGAGUGAAAAAGAACCUGAAACCGUGUACGUACAAGCAGUGGGAGCACCUUCGGGUGUGACUGCGUACCUUUUGUAUAAUGGGUCAGCGACUUAUAUUCUGUAGCAAGGUUAACCGUAUAGGGGAGCCGCAGGGAAACCGAGUCUUAACUGGGCGUUAAGUUGCAGGGUAUAGACCCGAAACCCGGUGAUCUAGCCAUGGGCAGGUUGAAGGUUGGGUAACACUAACUGGAGGACCGAACCGACUAAUGUUGAAAAAUUAGCGGAUGACUUGUGGCUGGGGGUGAAAGGCCAAUCAAACCGGGAGAUAGCUGGUUCUCCCCGAAAGCUAUUUAGGUAGCGCCUCGUGAACUCAUCUUCGGGGGUAGAGCACUGUUUCGGCUAGGGGGUCAUCCCGACUUACCAACCCGAUGCAAACUACGAAUACCGAAGAAUGUUAUCACGGGAGACACACGGCGGGUGCUAACGUCCGUCGUGAAGAGGGAAACAACCCAGACCGCCAGCUAAGGUCCCAAAGUCAUGGUUAAGUGGGAAACGAUGUGGGAAGGCACAGACAGCCAGGAUGUUGGCUUAGAAGCAGCCAUCAUUUAAAGAAAGCGUAAUAGCUCACUGGUCGAGUCGGCCUGCGCGGAAGAUGUAACGGGGCUAAACCAUGCACCGAAGCUGCGGCAGCGACACUAUGUGUUGUUGGGUAGGGGAGCGUUCUGUAAGCCUGCGAAGGUGUGCUGUGAGGCAUGCUGGAGGUAUCAGAAGUGCGAAUGCUGACAUAAGUAACGAUAAAGCGGGUGAAAAGCCCGCUCGCCGGAAGACCAAGGGUUCCUGUCCAACGUUAAUCGGGGCAGGGUGAGUCGACCCCUAAGGCGAGGCCGAAAGGCGUAGUCGAUGGGAAACAGGUUAAUAUUCCUGUACUUGGUGUUACUGCGAAGGGGGGACGGAGAAGGCUAUGUUAGCCGGGCGACGGUUGUCCCGGUUUAAGCAUGUAGGCUGAUUGUCCAGGCAAAUCCGGAUAAUCAAGGCUGAGGUGUGAUGACGAGGCACUACGGUGCUGAAGUAACAAAUGCCCUGCUUCCAGGAAAAGCCUCUAAGCAUCAGGUAACAUCAAAUCGUACCCCAAACCGACACAGGUGGUCAGGUAGAGAAUACCAAGGCGCUUGAGAGAACUCGGGUGAAGGAACUAGGCAAAAUGGUGCCGUAACUUCGGGAGAAGGCACGCUGGUGUGUAGGUGAAGUCCCUGCGGAUGGAGCUGAGACCAGUCGAAGAUACCAGCUGGCUGCAACUGUUUAUUAAAAACACAGCACUGUGCAAACACGAAAGUGGACGUAUACGGUGUGACGCCUGCCCGGUGCCGGAAGGUUAAUUGAUGGGGUUAUCCGUAAGGAGAAGCUCUUGAUCGAAGCCCCGGUAAACGGCGGCCGUAACUAUAACGGUCCUAAGGUAGCGAAAUUCCUUGUCGGGUAAGUUCCGACCUGCACGAAUGGCGUAAUGAUGGCCAGGCUGUCUCCACCCGAGACUCAGUGAAAUUGAACUCGCUGUGAAGAUGCAGUGUACCCGCGGCAAGACGGAAAGACCCCGUGAACCUUUACUAUAGCUUGACACUGAACAUUGAGCCUUGAUGUGUAGGAUAGGUGGGAGGCUUUGAAGCGUGGACGCCAGUCUGCGUGGAGCCAACCUUGAAAUACCACCCUUUAAUGUUUGAUGUUCUAACGUUGGCCCCUGACCGGGGUUGCGGACAGUGUCUGGUGGGUAGUUUGACUGGGGCGGUCUCCUCCCAAAGCGUAACGGAGGAGCACGAAGGUUAGCUAAUCCUGGUCGGACAUCAGGAGGUUAGUGCAAUGGCAUAAGCUAGCUUGACUGCGAGCGUGACGGCGCGAGCAGGUGCGAAAGCAGGUCAUAGUGAUCCGGUGGUUCUGAAUGGAAGGGCCAUCGCUCAACGGAUAAAAGGUACUCCGGGGAUAACAGGCUGAUACCGCCCAAGAGUUCAUAUCGACGGCGGUGUUUGGCACCUCGAUGUCGGCUCAUCACAUCCUGGGGCUGAAGUAGGUCCCAAGGGUAUGGCUGUUCGCCAUUUAAAGUGGUACGCGAGCUGGGUUUAGAACGUCGUGAGACAGUUCGGUCCCUAUCUGCCGUGGGCGCUGGAGAAUUGAGGGGGGCUGCUCCUAGUACGAGAGGACCGGAGUGGACGCAUCACUGGUGUUCGGGUUGUCAUGCCAAUGG
RNAcentral lists this ribosomal RNA (2707 nucleotides) under Klebsiella pneumoniae subsp. pneumoniae KPNIH23. RNAcentral's name for it is "bacterial LSU rRNA". It matches the Rfam family "Bacterial large subunit ribosomal RNA". The record is from RNAcentral. Lineage: Bacteria; Pseudomonadati; Pseudomonadota; Gammaproteobacteria; Enterobacterales; Enterobacteriaceae.